UGUCCAGCAACUCCUAUCCCUACCUCCUCGUGGUACUGGCCGGGGUACGAGUAACCUUGGGGAAGAUCGGGUAACCAACCCCCGGUGGGAACUUUGGUCGUAUGCUGACAGGGAAGG
Non-coding RNA from Aedes aegypti (yellow fever mosquito), 117 nucleotides. The record is from Rfam. NCBI's taxonomy places the organism in Eukaryota, Metazoa, Arthropoda, Insecta, Diptera, Culicidae.